AAAACUAUAUUUUCAGGAAUCAUUUGUAUAGUUUUUUGUUGGGGGAGUUUUUCGGGACGUGUAGAACGUUGGAAGCCACGAGGAGGAGUUGUUGAGUUAUGUUUGAGUGUAAAGUUGGUUCCAUUGGCGAUCGUUCUUGUUUCUUUCUCGGUGGAUGAGAGAGAGAGCGCUGUCUGAGUGGU
Pongo abelii (Sumatran orangutan) is the source of this 182-nucleotide small nucleolar RNA. Its record names the gene U3. It matches the Rfam family "Small nucleolar RNA U3". From Rfam's summary of the family: Small nucleolar RNAs (snoRNAs) are involved in the processing and modification of rRNA in the nucleolus. There are two main classes of snoRNAs: the box C/D class, and the box H/ACA class. Lineage: Eukaryota; Metazoa; Chordata; Mammalia; Primates; Hominidae. The record is from Ensembl.